AGUGAACGCUGGCGGCAGGCCUAACACAUGCAAGUCGAACGGCAGCACAAGAGAGCUUGCUCUCUGGGUGGCGAGUGGCGGACGGGUGAGGAAUGCAUCGGAAUCUGCCCAUUUGUGGGGGAUAACCUCGGGAAACCGGGACUAAUACCGCAUACGACCUACGGGUGAAAGCAGGGGAUCUUCGGACCUUGCGCAGAUGGAUGAGCCGAUGCCGGAUUAGCUAGUUGGAGGGGUAAAGGCCCGCCAAGGCGACGAUCCGUAGCUGGUCUGAGAGGAUGAUCAGCCACACUGGGACUGAGACACGGCCCAGACUCCUACGGGAGGCAGCAGUGGGGAAUAUUGGACAAUGGGCGCAAGCCUGAUCCAGCCAUGCCGCGUGUGUGAAGAAGGCCUUCGGGUUGUAAAGCACUUUUGUUGGGAAAGAAAAGCAGCCGGUUAAUACCCGGUUGUCAUGACGGUACCCAAAGAAUAAGCACCGGCUAACUUCGUG
This 490-nucleotide ribosomal RNA is filed under the name uncultured bacterium. Its description in RNAcentral is "partial 16S ribosomal RNA". It matches the Rfam family "Bacterial small subunit ribosomal RNA", at positions 29 to 507 of the family's 1533-position model. The record is from RNAcentral.